This 464-nucleotide long non-coding RNA is filed under the name Hordeum vulgare. RNAcentral's name for it is "long non-coding RNA (HVUL_LNC004155)". The record is from RNAcentral. Lineage: Eukaryota; Viridiplantae; Streptophyta; Magnoliopsida; Poales; Poaceae.
ACGAGCGCAACGACAGGUGUGUUGGGCGUGGAUUCAAGGUGAGGUGGCAGUUGUGAGGCAAGCCAUGGUGGCAGUGACGAGCACCGGUGGAGCCAGAGUCCCACGGUGGCGUACUUUCCUUAAGCUAUUGCACGAAAACAAUAUUCAACCCAAUUUGAAGACUGCGAGGCCCCGUAUUGAUCCGAGUCCGAGUCUAGAUGAUGGAUUUGUCUCUUAUGCUGUUGUUGACUGGGUUUCCUCUUGUGCGACAGUCGGAACGAAGACAUGAUCGUGGUAGAUUCUUUUGUGAUCAGAAGUUCGUAGCUCCAUGGCGGAUCGUGCAACAUAUACUCGGUGGGACGAUUUGUUUUUGUUGGCUAGCUUGUAGUAGUGCUUCUCAACUUUCCAUCAGCGGACGGCCCACGCCUCGCCAUUGCGUAUCCAUCUAGCGACUUGUACUUUUUGUCAGAUUAACGACGUCAUUG